GCAUGAGUAGCUCAGCGUUUAGAGCACCAGUCUUGUAAACUGGUUGCCGAGGGUUAAACCCCCUCCUCUUGCU
This 73-nucleotide transfer RNA is filed under the name Paralichthys woolmani (speckled flounder). RNAcentral's name for it is "tRNA-Thr". It matches the Rfam family "tRNA". Rfam says of the family: Transfer RNA (tRNA) molecules are approximately 80 nucleotides in length. Their secondary structure includes four short double-helical elements and three loops (D, anti-codon, and T loops). The record is from RNAcentral. Lineage: Eukaryota; Metazoa; Chordata; Actinopteri; Pleuronectiformes; Paralichthyidae.